RNAcentral lists this ribosomal RNA (2924 nucleotides) under Klebsiella pneumoniae. Its description in RNAcentral is "bacterial LSU rRNA". It matches the Rfam family "Bacterial large subunit ribosomal RNA". The record is from RNAcentral. Lineage: Bacteria; Pseudomonadati; Pseudomonadota; Gammaproteobacteria; Enterobacterales; Enterobacteriaceae.
GGGUUGUGAGGUUAAGCGACUAAGCGUACACGGUGGAUGCCCUGGCAGUCAGAGGCGAUGAAGGACGUGCUAAUCUGCGAAAAGCGUCGGUAAGGUGAUAUGAACCGUUAUAACCGGCGAUGUCCGAAUGGGGAAACCCAGUGCAAUUCGUUGCACUAUCGUUAACUGAAUACAUAGGUUAACGAGGCGAACCGGGGGGAACUGAAACAUCUAAGUACCCCGAGGAAAAGAAAUCAACCGAGAUUCCCCCAGUAGCGGCGAGCGAACGGGGAGCAGCCCAGAGUCUGAAUCAGCUUGUGUGUUAGUGGAACGGUCUGGAAAGUCCGACGGUACAGGGUGAUAGUCCCGUACACCAAAAUGCACAGGCUGUGAACUCGAAGAGUAGGGCGGGACACGUGGUAUCCUGUCUGAAUAUGGGGGGACCAUCCUCCAAGGCUAAAUACUCCUGACUGACCGAUAGUGAACCAGUACCGUGAGGGAAAGGCGAAAAGAACCCCGGCGAGGGGAGUGAAAAAGAACCUGAAACCGUGUACGUACAAGCAGUGGGAGCACCUUCGGGUGUGACUGCGUACCUUUUGUAUAAUGGGUCAGCGACUUAUAUUCUGUAGCAAGGUUAACCGUAUAGGGGAGCCGCAGGGAAACCGAGUCUUAACUGGGCGUUAAGUUGCAGGGUAUAGACCCGAAACCCGGUGAUCUAGCCAUGGGCAGGUUGAAGGUUGGGUAACACUAACUGGAGGACCGAACCGACUAAUGUUGAAAAAUUAGCGGAUGACUUGUGGCUGGGGGUGAAAGGCCAAUCAAACCGGGAGAUAGCUGGUUCUCCCCGAAAGCUAUUUAGGUAGCGCCUCGUGAAUUCAUCUUCGGGGGUAGAGCACUGUUUCGGCUAGGGGGUCAUCCCGACUUACCAACCCGAUGCAAACUACGAAUACCGAAGAAUGUUAUCACGGGAGACACACGGCGGGUGCUAACGUCCGUCGUGAAGAGGGAAACAACCCAGACCGCCAGCUAAGGUCCCAAAGUCAUGGUUAAGUGGGAAACGAUGUGGGAAGGCACAGACAGCCAGGAUGUUGGCUUAGAAGCAGCCAUCAUUUAAAGAAAGCGUAAUAGCUCACUGGUCGAGUCGGCCUGCGCGGAAGAUGUAACGGGGCUAAACCAUGCACCGAAGCUGCGGCAGCGACACUAUGUGUUGUUGGGUAGGGGAGCGUUCUGUAAGCCUGCGAAGGUGACCUGUGAGGGUUGCUGGAGGUAUCAGAAGUGCGAAUGCUGACAUAAGUAACGAUAAAGCGGGUGAAAAGCCCGCUCGCCGGAAGACCAAGGGUUCCUGUCCAACGUUAAUCGGGGCAGGGUGAGUCGACCCCUAAGGCGAGGCCGAAAGGCGUAGUCGAUGGGAAACAGGUUAAUAUUCCUGUACUUGGUGUUACUGCGAAGGGGGGACGGAGAAGGCUAUGUUAGCCGGGCGACGGUUGUCCCGGUUUAAGCAUGUAGGCUGGUUAUCCAGGCAAAUCCGGAUAAUCAAGGCUGAGGUGUGAUGACGAGGCACUACGGUGCUGAAGUAACAAAUGCCCUGCUUCCAGGAAAAGCCUCUAAGCAUCAGGUAACAUCAAAUCGUACCCCAAACCGACACAGGUGGUCAGGUAGAGAAUACCAAGGCGCUUGAGAGAACUCGGGUGAAGGAACUAGGCAAAAUGGUGCCGUAACUUCGGGAGAAGGCACGCUGGUGUGUAGGUGAAGUCCCUGCGGAUGGAGCUGAGACCAGUCGAAGAUACCAGCUGGCUGCAACUGUUUAUUAAAAACACAGCACUGUGCAAACACGAAAGUGGACGUAUACGGUGUGACGCCUGCCCGGUGCCGGAAGGUUAAUUGAUGGGGUUAUCCGUAAGGAGAAGCUCUUGAUCGAAGCCCCGGUAAACGGCGGCCGUAACUAUAACGGUCCUAAGGUAGCGAAAUUCCUUGUCGGGUAAGUUCCGACCUGCACGAAUGGCGUAAUGAUGGCCAGGCUGUCUCCACCCGAGACUCAGUGAAAUUGAACUCGCUGUGAAGAUGCAGUGUACCCGCGGCAAGACGGAAAGACCCCGUGAACCUUUACUAUAGCUUGACACUGAACAUUGAGCCUUGAUGUGUAGGAUAGGUGGGAGGCUUUGAAGCGUGGACGCCAGUCUGCGUGGAGCCAACCUUGAAAUACCACCCUUUAAUGUUUGAUGUUCUAACGUUGGCCCCUUACCGGGGUUGCGGACAGUGUCUGGUGGGUAGUUUGACUGGGGCGGUCUCCUCCCAAAGCGUAACGGAGGAGCACGAAGGUUAGCUAAUCCUGGUCGGACAUCAGGAGGUUAGUGCAAUGGCAUAAGCUAGCUUGACUGCGAGCGUGACGGCGCGAGCAGGUGCGAAAGCAGGUCAUAGUGAUCCGGUGGUUCUGAAUGGAAGGGCCAUCGCUCAACGGAUAAAAGGUACUCCGGGGAUAACAGGCUGAUACCGCCCAAGAGUUCAUAUCGACGGCGGUGUUUGGCACCUCGAUGUCGGCUCAUCACAUCCUGGGGCUGAAGUAGGUCCCAAGGGUAUGGCUGUUCGCCAUUUAAAGUGGUACGCGAGCUGGGUUUAGAACGUCGUGAGACAGUUCGGUCCCUAUCUGCCGUGGGCGCUGGAGAAUUGAGGGGGGCUGCUCCUAGUACGAGAGGACCGGAGUGGACGCAUCACUGGUGUUCGGGUUGUCAUGCCAAUGGCACUGCCCGGUAGCUAAAUGCGGAAGAGAUAAGUGCUGAAAGCAUCUAAGCACGAAACUUGCCCCGAGAUGAGUUCUCCCUGAGACUUUAAGUCUCCUGAAGGAACGUUAAAGACGAUGACGUUGAUAGGCCGGGUGUGUAAGCGCAGCGAUGCGUUGAGCUAACCGGUACUAAUGAACCGUGAGGCUUAACCUUACAACGCCGAAG